UGGUGCUAGGUAUGUUACGGGUGGUUGGAUGUCUGCAUGUGCAGCAACGUCCACCCGUGCACACCUCUUCAUUUGCCGCGAGGGGCCGUCCUUCGGCCUCUAGCAACCGUCGGUUUUUCCUGUGUUGCGUGCCUUCACCAUGGUAUCCUGUUGCCUGCUUUAUGUCCCAUUCCAUCGUGCGUCGCUCAUGCGGCGUGGGAUGGACCCCGAAACGGCCCCUUUGUUCCGUCCCGUCGGCGCUUGUGCGCGGUCGGCAUGGCCCAUUGGGCGUCGCUUGGUUUCUCGGAUACGGAACCUUGUGUGGGUACGGGGUCUCCCGGGACCCUGUGUUUGCCCUCGUCAAGCGUUCUCGCUUCUCAGAAACGACCGGCCGGUCGCGUGUCG
This 384-nucleotide unclassified non-coding RNA is filed under the name Proustia cuneifolia subsp. cuneifolia. RNAcentral describes it as "partial external transcribed spacer". Lineage: Eukaryota; Viridiplantae; Streptophyta; Magnoliopsida; Asterales; Asteraceae. The record is from RNAcentral.